Molecule: long non-coding RNA, 967 nt
Filed under: Salmo salar (Atlantic salmon)
Lineage: Eukaryota; Metazoa; Chordata; Actinopteri; Salmoniformes; Salmonidae
Description: lncRNA (ENSSSAG00000091549.1)
Source: RNAcentral
CUUGGUGUUAUUUGGACAUAAAUUAUGAACUUUGUCAAAAGAAACCACAUUUGUUCCGGACCUGGAAUGCCUUCCGGACCUGGGAUCCUGCCUUCUGAUGGAGAUAAUCAAAGCUCCACCUCUGCUGCAGAGAUCCCAUCCUGACUGGAGGAAACAACACCUACAGGUAGCAGAGGAACAGUGUUAGGAUGAACUGACUGGAGGAAACAGCACCUACAGGCUGAAUGACAGCACCAUGGCAACAACAACAGGACGCCAGUGUGGGUUUCCUGUGUACUGAGAGUGUCUUCUCAGCCAAUCAGUGACUAGCUCUUAUAUGAGUACUGUAAUACCAACAUCAUAAUAUCAGACUUAUCAACAUUAGUAGUGGUCAAUGUAUGUAUAUGUUUACAUGUGUUUAUAUAUAUGUAUGUGGGUAUAUGGUAGUGUGUCCAUACAUUUGCAUAUCAUGUAUAGUCCUAUGUGUGUGGUUAUGGUUUACUCAGCUAGUGCUGCUGCUCUGUGGGGGAGGGGUUAAGGGGGCCUGGGUUUCAGGUCUGAGGAGCAGUGUCAGAGUAGCUGGGUCUGUCAGUAACAGUAUCAGAGUAGCUGGGUCUGUCAGUAACAGUAUCAGAGUAGCUGGGUCUGUCAGUAACAGUAUCAGAGUAGCUGGGUCUGUCAGUAACAGUAUCAGAGUAGUUGGGUCUGUCAGUAACAGUAUCAGAGUAGCUGGGUCUGUCAGUAACAGUAUCAGAGUAGCUGGGUCUGUCAGUAACAGUAUCAGAGUAGCUGGGUCUGUCAGUAACAGUAUCAGAGCAGCUGGGUCUGUCAGUAACAGUAUCAGAGUAGCUGGGGUCUGUCAUUUACAUUUACAUUUUAGUCAUUUAGCAGACGCUCUUAUCCAGAGCGACUUACAGUAGUGAAUGCAUACAUUUCAUCCAUUUCAUUUCAUGCAUUUUUUCUACUACCCCCCGUGGCAAUCAAACCC